GCACUACGCCACCAUCUCUGAGUCCAACAUCCCCGCCGAGCUCUUCCCGUAGUGCCCCACUAUCAAUCGCUCCCUCCUGGAUCCACGUCUUCGAGUUCAAUCCAUGCUAGUCACCGCCCAGUCAACACCACAAGAGGAUCCCCAUGCCUUCCUACCCACCAUCUCCCCAGAUCACCACUCUGCAUCCUCCUUCGCCCGACAAAUCCUUCCAUCGUUGGCCUCAUCGAACCUCACCCCGACCGCAAUCUUGUGGGUUCCGCCCCUCAACAGGUUGCCAUGCCGCCAUCAGGAUCUGCAUCGGGCUACUGCUAGUGCUUCGUGCACCUCCUUUGCGCCACCCUCCAUGGUUCCGUGGUUGUGUGCCUCCCGAUGCUCUGCCUCGUUGCUCCUCAACCUCAUCACGGCCAAAUCGGCCUCCGCAGGGCAUCAUGUGUUCCUCUCGAUCCUUCAAGUGCAGGCGACGUCGAGGAGUAGCGCAGCCAUGGACGCGGUCCACACCCUACAUGAUCCACCGCGCCGCCACCCACCCCUUUAGUUGACUGAGUGCUGACUUAAAGACGAAAGAAGUUAGCAAGGACAUUUGGAGAUUACAACAUCCACUAAGCUCAAGAGGGCUCGCACUCCAUUGAAUGACCUAACCAACACCACAAACGGUAAUGUUUAUAUCAACUACUAUUGUCUAAAGGUCCCUUCUCAUACUAAACAACUAAAUAGAUUUCCUGCUUUGACUUCUUAUGAUGACACAAGUUGCUUGUGUGUGUACAUGGAAGCUUCCCUUGCAAAUGCUUCGUAUGUGUCUACUCUUCCAUGAAAGUGUGGUGUCGGGGAUAGCUUUUGGCCUGGUAAAGGUUUGCCGAGAUCAAAAGAGACAUAGAUGAGAUGCAUAUCAACAGGAAAGGAAGAUUCUGUAUGAAUAGUCUGGGAUUAAGAAUGCUUUUCAUAAUUUCAUUUUAUCCAUUGUAUACCUAUGCAGGAGAUGGAGAAACCUCUGAUUCUUAUCAUGACAAGAAAAUCGCAAACAUGAAUUCACUCCUUCCAAUAUUAGAAAUUUCUAUCAAGAAUCGCAUGCAACUUCUCAUUGUUGCUGAGGAUGUAGGAGAAGCUCUGGUAGUGCUUGUACUGAACAAGCAUCGUGCUGGUCCUGAUAUUUAGCACACCGAAGUGCUCAUAUAAGCUAUUGGGCUAUACUCUUGCAUGGAAGUAUGUGCUAUCAAAACUCCUAGAUUUGGUGAUAACAUAAGGGACAAUCUGGAUGAUAUGGCUAUGUUGACUGGAGGAGAGGUUUGCUAUUAUCGACCAAUAACCAAUGAUUAUAGAAUUUCUUAACACAGACUACAUUGAAAUUGACUUUUAUAUUUUAUUUUAAUUUGAAGGUUGUUAGCGAGGAACAAGGUCUUGAUCUUGAUAAAGUCUAACUACAAAUGCUUGACUUUUAUAUUUCAUUUUAAUUUGAAGGUUGUUAGCGAGGAACAAGGUCUUGAUCUUGAUAAAGUCUAACUACAAAUGCUUGGCAUUGCUAAAAAUGUUUGUCAGUUUCAUAAAUUGUUUCACUUGAGAUCCAAACAGUGACAUCCUCCUUCA
This is a long non-coding RNA of Phragmites australis (common reed), 1581 nucleotides long. RefSeq lists it as uncharacterized. NCBI's taxonomy places the organism in Eukaryota, Viridiplantae, Streptophyta, Magnoliopsida, Poales, Poaceae. The transcript has 6 exons. The record is from RefSeq and is a predicted model, not a curated record.